AGUGAACGCUGGCGGUAGGCCUAACACAUGCAAGUCGAACGGCAGCACAGUAAGAGCUUGCUCUUACGGGUGGCGAGUGGCGGACGGGUGAGGAAUACAUCGGAAUCUACUUUUUCGUGGGGGAUAACGUAGGGAAACUUACGCUAAUACCGCAUACGACCUACGGGUGAAAGCAGGGGAUCUUCGGACCUUGCGCGAUUGAAUGAGCCGAUGUCGGAUUAGCUAGUUGGCGGGGUAAAGGCCCACCAAGGCGACGAUCCGUAGCUGGCCUGAGAGGAUGAUCAGCCACACUGGAACGGAGACACGGUCCAGACUCCUACGGGAGGCAGCAGUGGGGAAUAUUGGACAAUGGGCGCAAGCCUGAUCCAGCCAUACCGCGUGGGUGAAGAAGGCCUUCGGGUUGUAAAGCCCUUUUGUUGGGAAAGAAAAGCAGCAGGUUAAUACCCCGCUGUUCUGACGUUACCCAAAGAAUAAGCACCGGCUAACUUCGUG
This 492-nucleotide ribosomal RNA is filed under the name uncultured bacterium. Its description in RNAcentral is "partial 16S ribosomal RNA". It matches the Rfam family "Bacterial small subunit ribosomal RNA", at positions 29 to 507 of the family's 1533-position model. The record is from RNAcentral.